This 380-nucleotide ribosomal RNA is filed under the name uncultured bacterium. Its description in RNAcentral is "bacterial SSU rRNA". It matches the Rfam family "Bacterial small subunit ribosomal RNA", at positions 28 to 401 of the family's 1533-position model. The record is from RNAcentral.
GAUGAACGCUGGCGGCGUGCCUAAUACAUGCAAGUCGAACGAGGUGCUUUUGUAGCAAUACGAGAGUAUCCUAGUGGCGAACGGGUGAGUAACGCGUUGGUGACCUACCCCAAAGUGUGGGAUAACAGUCCGAAAGGAUUGCUAAUACCGCAUGUGGUCUUCGGAUUUAGAAACUGAUGACUAAAGGAGCAAUUCGCUUUGGGAGGGACCUGCGUCCCAUCAGCUAGUUGGUGAGGUAAUGGCUCACCAAGGCUACGACGGGUAGGGGACCUGAGAGGGUGACCCCCCACAAUGGAACUGAAACACGGUCCAUACACCUACGGGUGGCAGCAGUAGGGAAUAUUGCACAAUGGGCGAAAGCCUGAUGCAGCAACGCCGCG